This 769-nucleotide long non-coding RNA is filed under the name Elaeis guineensis (African oil palm). RNAcentral describes it as "long non-coding RNA (EGUI_LNC065658)". The record is from RNAcentral. Lineage: Eukaryota; Viridiplantae; Streptophyta; Magnoliopsida; Arecales; Arecaceae.
ACUUGAUCCAAAAAUAAUUACUCAAUCAAAUUGAGUUAAUUAGUGAUCAAAUCACUAAUUAAAUCUCUCAUAAAUACUGAAUCCAAAUCCGAUGGGCAAUCGGGUAUCAAAGUCCAUCGAUAUGAAACCUUGAUCGAAGAGUCCCAAACCAGUGGGACUCUUGAUCCCGAUACCCAAAAUGUGUGAAACUCAUGAUCAGAGAAUCUUGAUUCUCGAUCACAGAGUCCUAGACACAUAGGACUCAUAGUCUACAAGCAUUAGGACUCUUCAUCAGCCAUCAGAUCAGAUAGGAACUUCUAAUGUGUGUGACCCCGCAGGUUCGAACCUAAGUCGGUAGCACAGGAAUCAAUUCCUGUACUAAUCGAAGUGACCAUCUAGCAAUGGUACCCGAUGUCCGAAUAGGUCGAAUAGUCGUAAUCACAACAUUCAGAACCUACAUGAAUAUGGUUACUAUAUAAUUCAUCCCUUUUGAUCCCUAUGUAUAGGAUGAAUCAGGGUUAAACUGUCAACCCUGAUUUGAUCAUCCGAAUCAUGCUCAAAUCAAACAGUCCUGUGACUCCUCACUAGGACUACCCUGGCCAAGGUUUUGCUAAAUUGAAAUACGACUGUACACAGCUCCUGAACUGGAGUGGUCAAUCCCAUCUUGACACAUGCACCGACAAGUCAAGUACUUGACUACACCCAGCAGCCUUCCGUCACUGAAUUAGAAAUUCAAGUAGUCCAGUGCCUAAGUACAGUGAGUUGCUUGCAAGUCACCAUGGCGGUCUCN